RNAcentral lists this ribosomal RNA (465 nucleotides) under uncultured bacterium. RNAcentral's name for it is "partial 16S ribosomal RNA". It matches the Rfam family "Bacterial small subunit ribosomal RNA", at positions 338 to 795 of the family's 1533-position model. The record is from RNAcentral.
CCUACGGGUGGCAGCAGUAGGGAAUUUUCGUCAAUGGGCGCACGCCUGAACGAGCAAUGCCGCGUGAACGAGGAAGGUCUUCGGAUCGUAAAGUUCUGUUGAAGGGGAAAAAGAGCGGAGAGAGGAAAUGAACUCCGAUUGAUAUUACCCUUCGAGGAAGUCACGGCUAACUACGUGCCAGCAGCCGCGGUAAUACGUAGGUGGCGUGCGUUAUCCGGAAUGAUUGGGCGUAAAGGGUGCGUAGGGGGUAUGUCAAGUCAAGGGUGAAAUCCCCGCGCUCAACGUGGGAACUGCCUUUGAAACUGGCAAACUGGAGGGUGUGAGAGGAUAGUGGAAGUCCAGGUGUAGGAGUGAAAUCCGUAGAUAUCUGGAGGAACAUCAGUGGGGAAGGCGACGAUCUGGCACAUAACUGACGCUGAGGAGCGAAAGCGUGGGUAGCAAACAGGAGUAGAUACCCGGGUAGUC